Molecule: ribosomal RNA, 500 nt
Filed under: uncultured bacterium
Lineage: Bacteria
Description: partial 16S ribosomal RNA
Rfam family: Bacterial small subunit ribosomal RNA
Source: RNAcentral
AUUGAACGCUGGCGGAAUGCUUUACACAUGCAAGUCGAACGGCAGCACGGGGGCAACCCUGGUGGCGAGUGGCGAACGGGUGAGUAAUAUAUCGGAACGUGCCCAGUCGUGGGGGAUAACGUAGCGAAAGUUACGCUAAUACCGCAUACGAUCUACGGAUGAAAGCGGGGGAUCGCAAGACCUCGCGCGAUUGGAGCGGCCGAUAUCAGAUAAGGUAGUUGGUGGGGUAAAGGCUCACCAAGCCAACGAUCUGUAGCUGGUCUGAGAGGACGACCAGCCACACUGGGACUGAGACACGGCCCAGACUCCUACGGGAGGCAGCAGUGGGGAAUUUUGGACAAUGGGCGCAAGCCUGAUCCAGCCAUUCCGCGUGCAGGACGAAGGCCUUCGGGUUGUAAACUGCUUUUGUACGGAACGAAAAAGCCUUGGCUAAUACCCAGGGUCCAUGACGGUACCGUAAGAAUAAGCACCGGCUAACUACGUGCCAGCCGCCGCAGUAA